GACGUGGGGGGCGAGCGUUGUCCGGAAUUACUGGGCGUCAAGCGCGCGUAGGCGGGCUGGCAGGCGGCGUGUGGAAGGCGGGGGCUCAACCCCCGAUGGGCGCGCCGAACCGCUGGUCUUGGGACGGCGAGGGGCAGGUGGAAUGGUCGGAGGAGCGGUGAAAUGCGCAGAUAUCAGGAGGAACACCGGUGGCGAAGGCGGCACUCUGGGCCGGUACUGACGCUGAGGAGCGAAAGCGUGGGGAGCGAACAGG
This 253-nucleotide ribosomal RNA is filed under the name uncultured bacterium. Its description in RNAcentral is "partial 16S ribosomal RNA". It matches the Rfam family "Bacterial small subunit ribosomal RNA", at positions 524 to 776 of the family's 1533-position model. The record is from RNAcentral.